Molecule: long non-coding RNA, 237 nt
Filed under: Lathyrus oleraceus (garden pea)
Lineage: Eukaryota; Viridiplantae; Streptophyta; Magnoliopsida; Fabales; Fabaceae
Description: Pisum sativum (pea) long non-coding RNA (PSAT_LNC041838)
Source: RNAcentral
AAAAAGAAAGAAAUAAUAGAUUUUUUUUAAGUUUUGUAUUUUAUAAUUAUUAUUUAAUCAAUAAUAAAAAAUAAUGUCAUAAUGAAAAUACAACAAAAACAAGUGAUUAAAAGAAAGAAAGAAAGGAAAGAAAGAAACAGGCCCAAUGUCCCAAAACAAAAUGAAAAGAGAAGCAAGUAUGGGUGUAAAUAGCAAACUUAGCCCAAGUUCAAUAGAAAAAGUCCAAGGAGAGAGUCA